AGAGUUUGAUCAUGGCUCAGGAUGAACGCUGGCGGCGUGCUUAACACAUGCAAGUCGAACGAUGAAGCCCAGCUUGCUGGGUGGAUUAGUGGCGAACGGGUGAGUAACACGUGAGUAACCUGCCCUUGACUCUGGGAUAAGCGCUGGAAACGGCGUCUAAUACCGGAUACGAGCUUCCACCGCAUGGUGAGUUGCUGGAAAGAAUUUCGGUCAAGGAUGGACUCGCGGCCUAUCAGGUAGUUGGUGAGGUAACGGCUCACCAAGCCGACGACGGGUAGCCGGCCUGAGAGGGUGACCGGCCACACUGGGACUGAGACACGGCCCAGACUCCUACGGGAGGCAGCAGUGGGGAAUAUUGCACAAUGGGCGCAAGCCUGAUGCAGCAACGCCGCGUGAGGGACGAAGGCCUUCGGGUCGUAAACCUCUUUUAGCAGGGAAGAAGCGAAAGUGACGGUACCUGCAGAAAAAGCACCGGCUAACUACGUGCCAGCAGCCGCGGUAAUACGUAGGGUGCGAGCGUUAUCCGGAAUUAUUGGGCGUAAAGAGCUCGUAGGCGGUUUGUCACGUCUGCUGUGAAAACUGGAGGCUCAACCUUCAGCCUGCAGUGGGUACGGGCAGACUAGAGUGCGGUAGGGGAGAUUGGAAUUCCUGGUGUAGCGGUGGAAUGCGCAGAUAUCAGGAGGAACACCGAUGGCGAAGGCAGAUCUCUGGGCCGUUACUGACGCUGAGGAGCGAAAGCGUGGGGAGCGAACAGGAUUAGAUACCCCGGUAGUCC
This 775-nucleotide ribosomal RNA is filed under the name uncultured bacterium. RNAcentral's name for it is "bacterial SSU rRNA". It matches the Rfam family "Bacterial small subunit ribosomal RNA", at positions 8 to 796 of the family's 1533-position model. The record is from RNAcentral.